AACGAACGCUGGCGGCAUGCCUAACACAUGCAAGUCGAACGAGACCUUCGGGUCUAGUGGCGCACGGGUGCGUAACGCGUGGGAACCUGCCCUUAGGUUCGGAAUAACUCCCCGAAAGGGGUGCUAAUACCGGAUAAUGUCUUCGGACCAAAGAUUUAUCGCCUUUGGAUGGGCCCGCGUUGGAUUAGCUAGUUGGUAGGGUAAAAGCCUACCAAGGCGACGAUCCAUAGCUGGUCUGAGAGGAUGAGCAGCCACACUGGGACUGAGACACGGCCCAGACUCCUACGGGAAGCAGCAGUGGGGAAUAUUGGACAAUGGGCGAAAGCCUGAUCCAGCAAUGCCGCGUGAGUGAUGAAGGCCUUAGGGUUGUAAAGCUCUUUUACCCGGGAUGAUAAUGACAGUACCGGGAGAAUAAGCUCCGGCUAACUCCGUG
This 433-nucleotide ribosomal RNA is filed under the name uncultured bacterium. RNAcentral describes it as "partial 16S ribosomal RNA". It matches the Rfam family "Bacterial small subunit ribosomal RNA", at positions 29 to 507 of the family's 1533-position model. The record is from RNAcentral.